Molecule: transfer RNA, 68 nt
Filed under: Marmota monax (woodchuck)
Lineage: Eukaryota; Metazoa; Chordata; Mammalia; Rodentia; Sciuridae
Description: tRNA.Thr
Rfam family: tRNA (bases 6-63)
About the family: Transfer RNA (tRNA) molecules are approximately 80 nucleotides in length.
Source: RNAcentral
GGAUAUAGCCCAGUUAGUAGAGUGUUUGCCUUGUAUGCACAAGGUCCUGGGUUCAAUCCCCAGCACCA